This 85-nucleotide transfer RNA is filed under the name Cytophagaceae bacterium. Its description in RNAcentral is "tRNA-Leu". It matches the Rfam family "tRNA". Rfam says of the family: Transfer RNA (tRNA) molecules are approximately 80 nucleotides in length. Their secondary structure includes four short double-helical elements and three loops (D, anti-codon, and T loops). The record is from RNAcentral. Lineage: Bacteria; Pseudomonadati; Bacteroidota; Cytophagia; Cytophagales; Cytophagaceae.
GCCCGGAUGGUGGAAUCGGUAGACACGCAGGACUUAAAAUCCUGUAGCCAUUGCGGCUGUGCGGGUUCAAGUCCCGCUCCGGGUA